CAAUCUGCCCUCUGGAUGUCAAUCUGCCCUCUGGAUGUUGAAGUCUGCAUCUCUAGUUCAACAUUCUGAACUACAACUUUUCGACAUUUCCUUGCUUUUUGGUGUGGAACAGAACAUAUCAAUCACUUUAUAGUUGUAUAAAGUGCUGCAUUGCUCAGUUAGCUUCUGCUGAAUGGUGUGCUAAAACACAUACUAAAACACAUACUACUAAAACACAAAAUACUAAAACACUAAAUACUAAAACACUAAAUACUAAAACACACAAUGUAACGUGUAACAUAAUGUAACUUGUGGUUCUAACUUGGUUAAUAUUUUCUCCCAUUGCAUUUACAAUCAUCAUCAUCAUCAUCAUCAUCAUCCUCAUCAUCCUCAUCCUCAUCAUCAUCAUCAUCAUCACCUAACCAAUGUUGACUAUACAGGCUGCCACCCAAAGCUAAUGCUAAACCAUUCAUCUCUGGGUUAAAGAAAAGACUGAACACUGAGCGUCAGAAGCAUCAGUAUCGCCUCCACUCUGUGGCGUGUGUUGGCACUGAGGUCCACCUGGCAGCCUGCCCCCUGGAGUCCAACAAGGGAAAUGCCACAGGGUCCUGUGAAGGUGGCAUGCCAGCCGUGGUCAGCUGUGUGCCUGGACCACAGUACGUACAGAACAACGGACUGAAGAAGAAGAUGCUCAAACCGAUGGUGAUUAGGAGUAGUAAUG
This is a long non-coding RNA of Coregonus clupeaformis (lake whitefish), 700 nucleotides long. RefSeq lists it as uncharacterized. NCBI's taxonomy places the organism in Eukaryota, Metazoa, Chordata, Actinopteri, Salmoniformes, Salmonidae. The transcript is spliced from 3 exons. The record is from RefSeq and is a predicted model, not a curated record.